Small nuclear RNA from Jaculus jaculus (lesser Egyptian jerboa), 107 nucleotides. Lineage: Eukaryota; Metazoa; Chordata; Mammalia; Rodentia; Dipodidae. The record is from RefSeq and is a predicted model, not a curated record.
AUGCUCACUUUGGCAUCACAUAUACUAAAACUGGAAUGAGAGAGAGAAGAUUAGCAUGGCCCAUGUGCAAGGAUGACACAUAAAUUCGUGAAGUGUUCCUUUUUUUU